GGGCCCGCACAAGCGGUGGAGUAUGUGGUUUAAUUCGAUGCAACGCGAAGAACCUUACCAGGGUUUGACAUCCUGCGAAUCUCUUGGAAACAGGAGAGUGCCUUCGGGAACGCAGUGACAGGUGGUGCAUGGCUGUCGUCAGCUCGUGUCGUGAGAUGUUGGGUUAAGUCCCGCAACGAGCGCAACCCACGUCUUUAGUUGCCAGCAUUUAGUUGGGCACUCUAGAGAGACUGCCGCUGAAAGCCGGAGGAAGGUGGGGACGACGUCAAGUCAGCAUGCCCCUUAAGUUUUGGGCUACACACGUGCUACAAUGGCCGAGACAAAGGGACGCUAACCUAAAGGGAGCCAAUCUCUAAAGUCGGCCUAAGUUCGGAUUGCAGGCUGCAACUCGCCUGCACGAAGUUGGAAUCGCUAGUAAUCG
RNAcentral lists this ribosomal RNA (421 nucleotides) under uncultured bacterium. Its description in RNAcentral is "bacterial SSU rRNA". It matches the Rfam family "Bacterial small subunit ribosomal RNA", at positions 917 to 1344 of the family's 1533-position model. The record is from RNAcentral.